UAUAAAUGUAAUUUAUAAAACUUAAUUAGUAUUAGUUAUGGUCUUUAAAAUUAAAGAUUUUGGCGGUAUUUUAGUCUUUUCAGAGGAACCUGUCCUAUAAUUGAUAGUCCACGAUUAAUUUUACUUAUUUUAAAUAGUUUGUAUAUCGUUGUAGUUAAAUAUUUUAUAAGAAAAAUAAUAUUUGAAGUUUUCAAGAGAAAAAAAUAUCAGAUCAAGGUGCAGCUUAUAGAUAAGGAGAGAUGGGUUACAAUAAAUUUAUUUAAAUGGAUGACAAAAUGAAAUUUUUAACUGAAAGUGGAUUUGAAAGUAAUUAAUUUAAUUUAUUUUUAAUGAUUAAAGCUCUAAAAUGUGU
RNAcentral lists this ribosomal RNA (352 nucleotides) under Euxestus sp. CO922. RNAcentral describes it as "partial 12S ribosomal RNA". Lineage: Eukaryota; Metazoa; Arthropoda; Insecta; Coleoptera; Cerylonidae. The record is from RNAcentral.